Onychostoma macrolepis is the source of this 249-nucleotide long non-coding RNA. RefSeq lists it as uncharacterized. The transcript has 3 exons. The record is from RefSeq and is a predicted model, not a curated record. NCBI's taxonomy places the organism in Eukaryota, Metazoa, Chordata, Actinopteri, Cypriniformes, Cyprinidae.
GUCAAGAAAAGAAGAUACCAUUACGACUUUUUUUUUAUUCUUUAAAAGAGAUUAUACGACUAGGUGAAGAUCUGACAUCGCGGAAUUCUUCAAGGAUAACGCAACUUUUCUGCCAAACGAGGUCGUAAUUGCUGCUGUAUUGUGCAUCCCAAGUACCCCCUGCAUUCUUAUCAAGGAUUGCUGUCAUUCAAGAACUUAUCAUUUCCUCCCCCAUUGUGGCUGAGCUACACAUUCUCUUCAUUUUAUUUU